UGGGGAAUAUUGGACAAUGGGGGCAACCCUGAUCCAGCAAUGCCGCGUGUGUGAAGAAGGUCUUCGGAUUGUAAAGCACUUUCGACGGGGACAAUGAUGACGGUACCCGUAGAAGAAGCCCCGGCUAACUUCGUGCCAGCAGCCGCGGUAAUACGAAGGGGGCUAGCGUUGCUCGGAAUGACUGGGCGUAAAGGGCGUGUAGGCGGUUUACACAGUCAGAUGUGAAAUCCCCGGGCUUAACCUGGGAGCUGCAUUUGAUACGUGUAGACUAGAGUGUGAGAGAGGGUUGUGGAAUUCCCAGUGUAGAGGUGAAAUUCGUAGAUAUUGGGAAGAACACCGGUGGCGAAGGCGGCAACCUGGCUCAUGACUGACGCUGAGGCGCGAAAGCGUGGGGAGCAAACAGGAUUAGGAUACCCUGGUAGUCCACGCUGUAAACGAUGUGUGCUAGAUGUUGGGUAACUUUGUUAUUCAGUGUCGCAGUUAACGCG
This 488-nucleotide ribosomal RNA is filed under the name uncultured bacterium. Its description in RNAcentral is "partial 16S ribosomal RNA". It matches the Rfam family "Bacterial small subunit ribosomal RNA", at positions 355 to 859 of the family's 1533-position model. The record is from RNAcentral.